GCGGGGAUAGCUCAGCUGGGAGAGCGUCAGACUGAAGCCUUAUUAACUUCAUUCAUUUAUCUGAAGGCCGUGUGUUCGAUCCACACUCACCGCA
Non-coding RNA from Xylaria palmicola, 94 nucleotides. The record is from the annotation of a GenBank genome assembly. NCBI's taxonomy places the organism in Eukaryota, Fungi, Ascomycota, Sordariomycetes, Xylariales, Xylariaceae.